GUGCCAGCAGCCGCGGUAAGACGGAAGGUGCAAGCGUUGCUCGGAAUCACUGGGCGUAAAGGGUGCGUAGGCGGCUUGGUAAGUCGGGUGUGAAAGCCCCGGGCUCAGCCUGGGAAGGGCACUCGAAACUGGCGAGCUGGAGUGCCGGAGGGGAGAGUGGAAUUCCUGGUGUAGCGGUGAAAUGCGUAGAGAUCAGGAGGAAUACCGGUGGCGAAAGCGACUCUCUGGACGGCAACUGACGCUGAGGCACGAAAGCGUGGGGAGCAAACAGGAUUAGAUACCCUGGUAGUCCACGCUGUAAACGAUGGGCACUAGGUGUCGGGGGUAUCCACUCCCUCGGUGCCGCCGCUAACGCAUUAAGUGUCCCGCCUGGGAAGUACGGUCGCAAGAUUAAA
This 395-nucleotide ribosomal RNA is filed under the name uncultured bacterium. RNAcentral describes it as "bacterial SSU rRNA". It matches the Rfam family "Bacterial small subunit ribosomal RNA", at positions 505 to 898 of the family's 1533-position model. The record is from RNAcentral.